RNAcentral lists this ribosomal RNA (701 nucleotides) under uncultured bacterium. RNAcentral describes it as "bacterial SSU rRNA". It matches the Rfam family "Bacterial small subunit ribosomal RNA", at positions 96 to 816 of the family's 1533-position model. The record is from RNAcentral.
UGGCGCACGGGUGAGUAACGCGUAGACAAUCUGCCCUUCAGUCUGGGACAACUUUUCGAAAGGAGAGCUAAUACCGGAUGACAAUGUAGUACAUAAGUACUACAUUUGAAAGCUCCGGCGCUGAAGGAGGGGUCUGCGUCCCAUUAGCUAGUUGGUAAGGUAAAGGCUUACCAAGGCGACGAUGGGUAGCGGGUUUGAGAGGACGAUCCGCCACACUGGAACUGAGACACGGUCCAGACUCCUACGGGAGGCAGCAGUGGGGAAUAUUGCACAAUGGAGGCAACUCUGAUGCAGCAAUGCCGCGUGAGUGAAGAAGGCCCUUGGGUCGUAAAGCUCUUUUAUGGGGGAAGAUGAUGACGGUACCCCAAGAAUAAGCACCGGCUAACUACGUGCCAGCAGCCGCGGUAAUACGUAGGGUGCAAGCGUUGUUCGGAAUUACUGGGCGUAAAGGGCGCGCAGGCGGAAUAGUAAGUCGGAGGUGAAAGCCCGGGGCUCAACCCCGGAGGGUCUUUCGAAACUACUAAUCUAGAGAGGGUCAGGGGUCAGCAGAAUUCAUGGUGUAGAGGUGAAAUUCGUAGAUAUCAUGAGGAAUACCGGUGGCGAAAGCGGCUGACUGGGGCCACUCUGACGCUGAGGCGCGAAAGCGUGGGGAGCAAACAGGAUUAGAUACCCUGGUGGUCCACGCCGUAAACGAUGAGCAA